This 472-nucleotide ribosomal RNA is filed under the name uncultured bacterium. RNAcentral's name for it is "bacterial SSU rRNA". It matches the Rfam family "Bacterial small subunit ribosomal RNA", at positions 355 to 825 of the family's 1533-position model. The record is from RNAcentral.
UGGGGAAUAUUGGACAAUGGGCGAAAGCCUGAUCCAGCGACGCCGCGUGUGUGAAGAAGGCCUGCGGGUUGUAAAGCACUUUCGAUGGGAACGAAAUGUGCCGGGUUAAUACCCCGGUAAGCUGACGUUACUCAAUGAAGAAGCACCGGCUAACUCUGUGCCAGCAGCCGCGGUAAUACAGAGGGUGCGAGCGUUAAUCGGAAUUACUGGGCGUAAAGCGCACGUAGGUGGCGACGUAAGUCGGGUGUGAAAGCCCCGGGCUCAACCUGGGAAUUGCAUUCGAGACUGCAUUCCUGGAGUACGGAAGAGGAGGGCGGAAUUCCCGGUGUAGCGGUGAAAUGCGUAGAUAUCAAGAGGAACACCUGAGGCGAAGGCGGCCACCUGGUUGGAUACUGACGCUGAGACGCGAAAGCGUGGGGAGCAAACAGGAUUAGAUACCCCCGUAGUCCCUGAGCGGGCUGGCAAGGCGCAU